This 253-nucleotide ribosomal RNA is filed under the name uncultured bacterium. Its description in RNAcentral is "partial 16S ribosomal RNA". It matches the Rfam family "Bacterial small subunit ribosomal RNA", at positions 524 to 776 of the family's 1533-position model. The record is from RNAcentral.
UACGAAGGGUGCAAACGUUGCUCGGAAUUACUGGGCGUAAAGGGCUCGUAGGUGGCCAACUAAGUCAGACGUGAAAUCCCUCGGCUUAACCGGGGAACUGCGUCUGAUACUGGAUGGCUUGAGUUUGGGAGAGGGAUGCGGAAUUCCAGGUGUAGCGGUGAAAUGCGUAGAUAUCUGGAGGAACACCGGUGGCGAAGGCGGCAUCCUGGACCAACACUGACACUGAGGAGCGAAAGCCAGGGGAGCAAACGGG